RNAcentral lists this ribosomal RNA (425 nucleotides) under uncultured Acetoanaerobium sp. RNAcentral's name for it is "bacterial SSU rRNA". It matches the Rfam family "Bacterial small subunit ribosomal RNA", at positions 356 to 774 of the family's 1533-position model. Lineage: Bacteria; Bacillati; Bacillota; Clostridia; Peptostreptococcales; Filifactoraceae. The record is from RNAcentral.
GGGGAAUUUUGGACAAUGGGGGCAACCCUGAUCCAGCCAUGCCGCGUGAGUGAAGAAGGCCUUCGGGUUGUAAAGCUCUUUCGGACGGAAAGAAAACGGAUGGGUUAAUACCCUGUUCGGAUGACGGUACCGUCAUAAGAAGCACCGGCUAACUACGUGCCAGCAGCCGCGGUAAUACGUAGGGUGCGAGCGUUAAUCGGAAUUACUGGGCGUAAAGCGUGCGUAGGCGGUUUAUCAAGUCAGGGGUGAAAGGCUACGGCUCAACCGUAGUGAGCCUCUGAAACUGGUGAACUUGAGUGUAGGAGAGGAAAGUGGAAUUCCCAGUGUAGCGGUGAAAUGCGUAGAUAUUGGGAGGAACACCAGUGGCGAAGGCGACUUUCUGGACUACAACUGACGCUGAGGCACGAAAGCGUGGGGAGCAAACA